CAAGCGGAGAGGAGGGGGGGGAAAUGUAUAUAGGUAGUUAAGAGAUCUCCCUGCCUGCCUCCUCCCCUCCCCCGAGAAGGGCAGCUCCGAUCCUGCAGAAACGCCUGAAACUGUUUCAGACCAAGGUCAGUUUGUUGGGUGUCAUAAGGCCCACAAAAAGCACCAUACACCGGAUGACAGAAAAGCCUGAGAAAACUGUGAUCUGCUCAUUUCCCCUGUUCCUCAAUGUACUUUCUGUGACCAGCCACCUCAGACACUUGGAACUGAUUCCAAGGAAGUUACCAGAGACCCUUCCUUGUCAAUUCAUCAGAGCAGUGUCAGGGUUGAUGACUAUCUCUGCUUGCACAGUGUCAUGGUUUGGUGGGCUGUGUUAUGGUAAAGAAAUCAGUGUGAUUCAAUCUGAAAUCUAGUUUCUGUUACUUUUUAAUGUCCACAAAAGAGACAGUUUAUCUUGCAAUGUUAUAAAUUACAUGCUCAUUUGACAUAGUGGACCUUUGUAACCUGGUUUUGUUAUUUUACUUGGUCUUGUUUCAUGUGUGCACACCUUUAAAAAGUUAAUUUUUUUUGUGUGCCUAUGCACCCCCAUCUCAAAAAGAAACAAUCUCUGUCUAGCAAGCACAUGUUUGUCAAUAGAGCUUUAGAAACACUGACUUUGCUGAUUGCUUUACAGCCCUAGUAGAGGAAUGUACAACAUGCAAUCCUCAACAUGCCAGUCUCCCAAGUGAGGAGAUUAUUAUAGCCUCUCCAGCGGGAGAUUAACUCUCCCAGCAAGGUAGGCACUGACGUCACCCCCAGCCUCAAUCUGCCCCCGACCUCAGCAUCACCAGCACUGGCAGAGCAGCAUCAAGUGCUCACAGUCUUGAAGACAGCUGGCCAUGCAGAGCCCUGACUAAGACAGGAAACAAAUUCAGAAAUGCUAGAUGGGAGUCAUGCAGGAAUCUGGGCACAUAAGUGCUGUAACAAAUAAAUGUGUGUAUAGGUCAGGGUAAAAGCUGUUUUCUGCUUGUAAUCCAGAGCAGCUACACAUUAGAAUUACUGUUUAAAAUAAGCAUUGCAGCACUGCAGAAACUAUUCUACAUUGCUUAGGUAUUAAUAUUCCCAUCAGUCACAUUAGUAAAAAGCUUUCCUUAUAUUAAGAGAAUUUUUUCCUAGUAACUGAACUGUUUCACAUUUAAAAAACAAACACCUUUCUUCCUAAUUAACCUGUUAAUUAUUCAACCUAACUUCUUUCAUGAUGUAAAAUUUUGAAACAUUUUAAGUACAAAAUAUUUUUUUCUUAUCACGCAUUCAUGUCUACCAUUCCAAAAAGCUCACAACUCUGAUAAUCCAUCUGACAACACAGUCAAUCAAAAAUCCAUCCUACAGCCGUUUCCAAAGAAACGAACACAUAGCCAGGAAGACAGAAUGCUUAAGCUGGAAGGAAACCAACCAACGGAACACAACAACAGCAACAACAAAGCUCCAAGCAUUUUCCCUUUUCCUUUAAAUUUCCUGAUUUGUGGAUAUAUCAUAGGGACACAGAUAAUGGUAAAUGCAUUUACUUUAAAAGUGGUGGUGGUGUAUUGGAGGUUUUGUUUGUUUUGUUUUGUUUUUAAUCUAGAAAGCUGGAUGCUUUCCAGCUCUUCCUACACAUACUCACAAAAAAAUACAAACCCUCCACCAAAAAAAAAAAAAAAACCCAGCACCCAAAGAACCAAAAAACUUUUUUAAAAGGGACAAGUAUGUACAAAAGGCAAACACAAUCAUGGAACUAAAAAAAUACAUCUGAAAUAUCAUUGCUCACACCUCCUCCUCAUUCUUUGGCUAUCUGUCUCCUGCUUAGGCCUCCAUCUAGUGUGGAGUUUUAGGUGGGUGGACACAAUGGGCUUAUUCACAAACAUCAAGCUCAGCACAUGCCUAAGGCUUUGAAGGCUGAAGACCAUGGUGGGUCAGCUUCUUGGGACAAGGACUCAUGGGAUUUUUCAGAAGGCUAAAACAGAGAAGUUCUGUGGGAGCUGGUCACCUUCCUGCUUUAUCUCCUGAUAAACACAUUCUCUGUCUCUGAGGUACCUAGAGCACUUCUGAAACAGCUGAAGUUAUAUAUAAGCAUUUUCCUAUUUUCCAAAUGCUUAUUCUGUAUACUGAGGCUGAAAGCACAUUGUAGCAAAUAAACUGUUUAAAGUAACAAACAUACAUAUACACAAUCAUAAAGGUAUACUGCGUAAAUUUUAUAAACUAAAAUUAAAAUUUUGAAGUUAAAAAUCAAGCAGUAAGCUCACCUGACAAACCUUAUUUCUCCCUUCUCUCCCACAUGUACUCAUGUAUUAUGAAAGUUGUUCAUUUCAUGUUUGCAUAAAAUUUUUUCUAGACCUCUGUGCUUGAUUAACAAAAGGCUUCAAUGUUAUGUUUUCUGCUUUAUUUUUGUAAGUAUGCCCCAUGCUUUAUUCAUUACACAUUUAUUCAGAUCCCACUCUGAAUACAGUUAUUAAUUUCCUCAUGGGCAUUUUAUGGAGCUUGUUGCUACAGUAUUUUAUGGGCUUCAAAAAUAUUAAUUAUUUUAGUUUCAUAAUACAUCCCUCAGAUGAGGGGAUAUUGUGACAGGAUAUGAAUAUUACAUUUGGAAAACAGUUAUAGAUUGCCUGAUUUGAUAUCUUGUAGACCUGUCAGGACUUGGCACUACAGAAAAGCUUAUUUCUUCAAGGCCUGGUUCCCACUGCUUUCAGUUGCAGUAAUAUCACUCACUGACUAUCUAACUACCUCUAAUCAAACCCUGGAGUUUUCAGGCAUCUGAAAAUGAGAAGCAAAUAUUUAGCAAGAGGUGCAAUUUCAAAGCCUUGAGCCAGCUUUAUCAAGGAACUUGCUGGCAGAGGCAAGGGCUAAGACACAAAUUUUAAACUGUUCAGCUCUCUCAAGACUUUGGACACUGCUUCUCUUCCCAUAAUUCUUUUUCUUUAACACUUCCUUCAGUUUCUAGAAUAAAGAUGACCAGGCUCCUGCCAGCAACAGCCCCACCUUUAACAAUACUCACAUGAUUCAGCCACUGUUUUGAAUCUUCGGCUCCUCAGCACAGUACCUGUUAACAUGAAUAGGUACUGCUGCCUUUGGCCCAGCAUUUGAAAAGAUGUGUCUGUCUUCACCACUGGAUUUCUUGGUUAUUACUGGCAGAAGAGGGAAUCUUGGGAUCCCUUCCAAACUUUGGGAGAGGGUGUUUUUUAAAUAGCAAACUCCCAUCUGCUUGCUUCCCAUGUCCAUGCUUUGCCUCGUCUUGGCUUUUUAUUUCAAGCCUGUCUUCAUUCUCUCUUCAGUCUUGGCUGCUCAUCCUACUUUUAUUUUUCUUAUCCAGUUAAUGGUAGUUUUUGAUUUGUAUCCCAGUUCCAGCUGCCCUAGUUGCACUUUUCUUUAAUUUUGUUCUGGGACUUCUCACUCUCAGAUUCAUCUUCAGCUGUGCAAGGUUCUUUUUUGUUGUUGUUGUUUUGUUUUCACUCCCUUUAUUUGAUCCCUUUAGUUGAUCUUUCUCUUAUGUCUUCUCACCCAAUAUAACUUUUAGUUAUGUUGACAUCCACCUCCCUUGUCUGUUCUUUACUCCAGGUGUGCACCAUGAAGUCACUCUUGCUCCUUGACCUUUUUUCCCAGUUGCAGAGUUGUCCUCACUUCAGCCCUUACACUGAUGUUCAGGCUGUUUUUGCUCUCUGCUACCCUCCAUCCAUUUCUUCACUUGGUUACUUCUCAGGCCUGGUUUCCUUAUGCAAAAAAUUUCGUUGUCCCAAAAUAUAUCCGCCAUUCCCGUUGCAGAUUUCUGCUAAUCACACCCCAUAUUCUUUCUCAGGAGCUUUAUGCUCACUUUACCAUGCUGCAAGAUCAGUCCUUCUUCCCCACCCAUCCAAGUGAAACAACCUUCCCCUCCCCAUCCUACAGAUACAACUGAGGUGGAUUAAGCACCUGAAAUCAUUGCUUCUUCUCAGUUAAGUUCCAUAUCCAAGCCAUGGCACAGCUCAAAAUUAUCAUAUAAUAUGUCACUGCAGAUGAGACACUCAGAUCACAGAAUCACAGAAUACGCUGAUUUGGAAGGGACCCACAAGGAUCAUUGAGUCCAAGUCCUGGCCCUGUACAGGACCAUCCAUCCCCAAGAAUCACACCAUGUGCCUGAGAGUGUCAUCCAAAUGCUUGAGUAUCAUCCAAAUGCUUCUUGAACUCUGUUAGACUUUUUGCUGUGACAACUUCCCUGGGGAGCCUGUCCCAGUGCUAAACCACCCUCUGGGUGAAGAACCUUUUCCUAAUAUCCAGCCCAAAACUCCCCAACACAACUUCAGGCCAUGUCCUUGGGUCCUGGUCAGAACAGAGAAGAGAUCAGUGCUUGCCCCUCCUCUUCCUCUCACAAGGAAGUUGUAACUGCAAUGAGGUCUCCCCUCAGUCUCCUCUUCUCCAGACUAAACAGCUCAGCUGCUCCUCAUAAGGCUUCCCCUCAAGGCCCUUCACUAUCUUCAUUGCCCUCCUUUGGAUGGUUUCUAAUAGUUUAAUAUCUUUCUUAUAUUGUGGUGACCAAAAUGCGCUGAAAGCUAUUACUUUGUCACUCAACUCUCUUUAGAAAUUGAUACUGUCAAUUUUGUUCAUUUUUAUGAACAGUCAAUACUGUUCAUUUUUAUUCUUAUCUUUAUAAGAAAUUAUUUCAUUUGGUGUUAAAUAUCAAGUUAUUGAAUACAGGUUUUGAUAUUUGCAUAUUUCAUUUGACUCUGAAUAUGGUUGCUUGAUGUAUUUGUAAUGAGUCCUUACUCCUAUGCAAGUUUCAUUUACCUUAAUGAAAAGAUCAGUUUGCCAAUUGUCUCCAUCAGUAAAUUUGGAUCUUCAGUUAUUAUCACUUGUUACAUUUCUUUCCCUAACUUCCCACCUCAGUGUCACCACAGGAACAGAAUAUUUGUUUGGGAAAUAGAGACACAGGAACACACCUGAGUUUUGCUUUAAAAAACAACAGCAAACUAGGUGGGAAAACUCUCUUCUGAAACCCAAACUGUGAUUAUAUUUUAGUAUCAGAACUUUAACAAGGAAUCAUGUUGGUGUAGCCUACAUUUUUAAUGUAGUCCUUCAGCCAGUGUAGACAUAAUUGAGUUUAUAAAAGGUAGUUUGUUAGAGAAGUGAUAAAGCACCAGAAGCAGCUCACAGAGUUUUGUGUGAAAGAAGAGACUUGUAUUUACAAAUAAAAUUCAUUACUAAUUUUUAACAGUGAGUAUUUAAUGAACCCAGUAUAGAAAAUACUGCCUGGCAAAGUCUCUGGUUAAUAUCCAGGUUAAGCUCUGCAACAAAACCAAUCUCACCUGUACCAGCACUAGGCCUUUCUUACAGAUUACCCAGCACAUGUAGCUAAUAAUAAUUAGAUGUGGUUUUCUUCCCAGACUCAACUCCCUCCUGUCCUGAGCAAACCUGGGUUUUACCAAGCCACCAGAGCAUCUGCAGUGCGCGGCCCCAUCGUCUCGACAUUUGCCUGUUUUCCCAAUAGUUUGCCCAGCUUGCAAGCCAUGGCGUGGAAGGUAACGUGCAGGCGUCUGGCAUCCCUGCCCUCCCCAUCCAGUUGUGAUUUUUUGGCGUCCUGCGACCCCUAGUGAGAGCCGGGGCGGGCGGGAGGGCAGCAGCCAAGCCUGCCCCCGCCGCUGGCCCGCCGGCCCGGGGCCGCCAGCGCCGCCGGGAUCCCGCCAGGCACCCGCUGUUUCCAGGUCGCGGGCAAAAACAUCUCUCUAGGGGUUUCCGUUUCCCCCGUUAACUGACUGAAAGCUACAAUAAAAACACAAUAACGCGUUGCCUCUGGUCGCUUCGAAACAAUGCGGUGAUUGUGUUGCAACUUCACACAGAAAGCUGCUGUAAACUCUCAAGGCAAUGGAGGGAGAGGCAAGAGACAGCACCCGUCUUCUACAUACCACCCCAAAAAAAGAAAGAAAUGAAAUUACCAGCUACGCUUCUACUUAAUUAUGUACGUGUAAGGCCUAAGCCUUUGCAAAUAACAACCAUCAGUAUUUGUUUGCCCACUGACGUUAGGAAAACAUUGGUGAGAGGUUGGUCUCACAGCAUUCAAAAUUGCAAGCUAAGCUUUUUGCUGUUGUCAUUAUGCUCAGAUCCACCAGAACAAUGGAGUUUAAAACAAUGAUUGAUUCUGUUCUAAACACAUACAUGAAUUAAAAGCUGAGAAUGUAAACAUGCAUUUAUUGAAGAGAAAAGGGUGUUUCUAAACUUGGUUCAGUUCCCUCAACUAAGAUCAACUUGGUAUUCAUAUACAUGUAUCAGAAUAUGUUGGAAUGUACGGACUGUGUUAUAUAUCAAACUGUUUUCUGCACUUAAACAUACUCUACACACACUUUUAGGGCCACUGUUACAGCAUGAAAGGGGUGAGUGCUGUUUUAGUUCCUACCAUUUACGAAUAAAACAUGCAAACAAUUCUACCUAAUGCUAAAAAGAAACAUGUAAGAGCUUUAAUAUUUUGAUCAUUCAACCGAAAUUAUAAUACACAAUAACUAGUCCAAAUAGGACACUUUUUCAAUGGAAAGAUCUUGACAAUCUGACUUGUGAAGCACUGCUACCUAUCAGAUGAAAAGAUUCCAGGAUAUGAAACGUACCUGGUUUUCAAAGACACAUAUUAAUAUCUUGUGAUGUUUUCAUUUCCAAAGAAACAGUAGAAGCUGAGAAUGAGGGGGUUUUAUCCAGAUGUUUAUAUCAAAAUAAUUAUGGCUUGCCUUCGAUGAAUAGUAUUGCCUUCUGAUUUGUAACUUCCUAAAACCCACUAAGUCCAAAGUCAAGCCAUCUAGUUAUUCAAACUUCCUAGAAGUUUCCAUUUGCUUACAAGUUGAGUUGGUCCGUAUCAUACUUGGAACCAAAACCAAAAAGUUCAAAGGUCUUCAGCAGCUCAGGUUUUAAAACCUACUUUGAACUCACUUAAACAACUUUCUUUGGGAGUUGAAAUUCUCGCAGAUGUUUUAAAUUCUCACAGAUAUUUGCGUAAUGGGAAUGUAGAUAACAUGAAUGUUAGAUGAGCCUGCAAUUGCCAUCUCCCAUUUUUCCAAAUUUUUUUUGCAUGGUUUAGUGCCUCCUAUCCUCCUAUCCGUUCGUCACUUUGCUAAAUAACCACUUUAAGCAACCUACUGUCAAGCGUAUAAAUUGCCUCUGAGAAAAUGACUAGUGCAGAGAAUUCAUUGUUAGUUAUACUACUUUUAUGUGUUUAAAACACUUAUUAUAUGCUUCUAAGGAAAAAAAAGAAGUUACCUUUCUGCAGCAAUGUCAAGGAUAUCACAGCUUGCAUAACCCAUAAUAGUACAUGAGUGAACAAAUUGUAGAAGAGCUGUGUCUCUUCUACAAAAAUCUCUCCUCGACCUGUUAGGCUGAUUUUUCUUUAACUUUGCUCCACAUAUGGGCAACCUAUUACACAGAAGUUUUUAUAGGCCUGCUUGGCUGAGCAGAGAAGCUGCAAACCUGUAAUACUAAUAUAAUCCUGUUGUGUCACAGUGAGGGAGGGAAGGGCAAACAGUCCAUCAGAGGCAGUAAACCUGAUUCUGUGCAGCAAUGUGCAUCAUGCUGAUGUCUUGGUUCGUGGCUCUUGGGUCCUUCACUGCUGCAUGAAUCAAUCUGUUUAAAAAUAUUUUUAUGCAAUUGGAAAUGUACAUUACUAGAAGUAAAUUGUAUACUUUUUAGAGCAUAUGGUUUAUAUUCAAAGUUUUAUCUGAUUUACCAAAGG
Molecule: long non-coding RNA, 7690 nt
Organism: Myiozetetes cayanensis
Lineage: Eukaryota; Metazoa; Chordata; Aves; Passeriformes; Tyrannidae
Exons: 3
Source: RefSeq, a predicted model, not a curated record